UCUGCUUUCGUUCACUACAUACCAGCCAGUUCUUAGAAUAACUUCAUGAAUUCUGUGGUCACCCCUACGACAUCUGAUGCAGCCAAAAUGAAUGGAAAAUGAAACGCAGAAGCGCCAACCCUUGUUAUGAUAACAUAAAGGUUGAAUUUACUGCAGCUAAUCUGGCAAGCUAUACGACUCACGGAGAGACAUUUCCUCUUGUAUUCCCCCCACGGGGAAGAAUGCAAGGCCGCACAGAAGAUGUUUGGUUUACGGAAAAAAGAGCCAAAUGAGAGAUACGCAGUUUUGGUGUGGUGAAUGUGAGACAGCGUUGUGUAUAGAAGAAUGCUUCAAUGCGUACCAUACUCUGCUCAAAUUCUAAACCACCUGCUUCCAUUGCUGAGAUACUGGGCGCUCAUAUUAUAAGGUUACUGCUGAGUCUGCAACAAAUAAGAGCUACAAGUAAAGUAGACCCAGUGAAGAGAUGGGAAAGAACAUAUUAAAACCAGGGUCCAUUGUAUCUAAUGGUACUGUAUCAGGUGUUUUGUUCAAAAUGGUAACCUUUCUUAACAAAGACAGUGAGUGGUGACUGAAGAAAGACUGGUACAUAUAAGUAGUAGUUUUAAGAAUACUGAUACAGAUUUUAUUAAAAUUAAUUUUGAAUAUUA
Long non-coding RNA from Cryptotermes secundus, 647 nucleotides. RefSeq lists it as uncharacterized. NCBI's taxonomy places the organism in Eukaryota, Metazoa, Arthropoda, Insecta, Blattodea, Kalotermitidae. The transcript is spliced from 2 exons. The record is from RefSeq and is a predicted model, not a curated record.